Stegostoma tigrinum is the source of this 1131-nucleotide long non-coding RNA. RefSeq lists it as uncharacterized. The record is from RefSeq and is a predicted model, not a curated record. NCBI's taxonomy places the organism in Eukaryota, Metazoa, Chordata, Chondrichthyes, Orectolobiformes, Stegostomatidae. The transcript is spliced from 3 exons.
UAUUAAUGCAACGCCGAAAUCCACAACUGUGCCAGCGGAUAUCAUUUUCCAACAAACAGUUCCACAAACGUAUGAUUUUAUUUGAUUCUUAAAGAUCAAUAUCUACUUAGAAUUUAUACCUUUGAAUGAGGCCUCUUUACUUUUUAAAAUGAUUAAGAGUAGAAAUAAAUUUAAAAGAGAUCAAUUUGGAGAGUUGUCAACAGUGACAUUACUGGUCAGAUGAGUGACCCAGCCUGCAAAAUGUUCAAAGGAAGCUGUAUUUAGGGUGGAUCGCAUUUAGAAAGCAAAGCAAAACAAAGCUGUCAGUAAGACAGAGCAGUAUGGUAAAUUACACAGACUAGCACCGUUAGUGACCAAACGUGUGGGUUCCGCCUCCACUCAUCACCCGUUCACACUGUGUAUGAACCCUUGAUGACUUGGGCCUGAGGCCACCGACCCUCCGUUUAGCAGCAGAGGACUAUUUUCCCGGUUCAGCGCCGCUGGUACAUCCAUCAGCGGUCAGCUUCCUCACUCAUUCCUUCGUACCUUGUUCUCCUCGCUCCUCGCCAGCACAAGCAGACACAGCAGCAACCAGAGGGACAGAACAAUACUACAGCCACAAGCGCCCGCCAUCUCACCACCCAGCGCUCCCUUCCUCGUUGUCGGGGCUCCCUCUCCUGGAGACAGCGUUUCCCUGGUAACCGACUGGCGAGUACGAGAUCAAUGCCUGAGGCCUAGUCCGUCGGUGUGUCUGAGGAGGGAAGACCGGACAGCAUUUUGUCUUCAAGAACAUGUACUGCCUAUUUUUUUAUUUUUAUCUCUUCUUUAUUGUUAAAGCUUUCUCCUCUCUCAUCAUCUUUCCUGCUCAUGGAGCUGGAUCUGAGCUACAGCAUCAACAAUGUCAAAUACCCUCCAGUACCAGAACUAAAGGAACAUCAUUUGAACCAUGACAUUGCAUACCAGCAAAUCAUUGAAGCGUGAAAAAUACCACAGUUCAGCCUUUCCUGUUCUCAGCGAACUUUGUUUUAACCAGCACCUUAUGAACUGGAACUCUCGAUAAACUGCCAACAAUUCUAUACCUCAAAGACCAGAAGUUUACUGUAUUUUCGCAAUGCUCACGCAGUCAGUCGAGGGCCCAAAUGAGAAGGCCCU